This 492-nucleotide ribosomal RNA is filed under the name uncultured bacterium. RNAcentral's name for it is "partial 16S ribosomal RNA". It matches the Rfam family "Bacterial small subunit ribosomal RNA", at positions 29 to 507 of the family's 1533-position model. The record is from RNAcentral.
AGUGAACGCUGGCGGUAGGCCUAACACAUGCAAGUCGAACGGCAGCACAGUAAGAUCUUGCUCUUACGGGUGGCGAGUGGCGGACGGGUGAGGAAUACAUCGGAAUCUACUUUUUCGUGGGGGAUAACGUAGGGAAACUUACGCUAAUACCGCAUACGACCUACGGGUGAAAGCAGGGGAUCUUCGGACCUUGCGCGAUUGAAUGGGCCGAUGUCGGAUUAGCUAGUUGGCGAGGUAAAGGCCCACCAAGGCGACGAUCCGUAGCUGGUCUGAGAGGAUGAUCAGCCACACUGGAACUGAGACACGGUCCAGACUCCUACGGGAGGCAGCAGUGGGGAAUAUUGGACAAUGGGCGAAAGCCUGAUCCAGCCAUACCGCGUGGGUGAAGAAGGCCUUCGGGUUGUAAAGCCCUUUUGUUGGGAAAGAAAAGCAGCAGGUUAAUACCCCGCUGUUCUGACGGUACCCAAAGAAUAAGCACCGGCUAACUUCGUG